RNAcentral lists this ribosomal RNA (522 nucleotides) under uncultured Glomus. RNAcentral describes it as "eukaryotic LSU rRNA". The stretch from base 136 to 289 matches the Rfam family "5.8S ribosomal RNA". Lineage: Eukaryota; Fungi; Glomeromycota; Glomeromycetes; Glomerales; Glomeraceae. The record is from RNAcentral.
UUUCCGUAGGUGAACCUGCGGAAGGAUCAUUAUCAAUUCUAGCAAGUACCCUUUAGGGUUCUUGCGCACGUAUUUAAAACCCCACACUUUUAUGAAAUUUUAUAUAUAUUUACUUUUAAUAAGUAAUUAAAAGAUCACUUUCAACAACGGAUCUCUUGGCUCUCGCAUCGAUGAAGAACGUAGCAAAGUGCGAUAAGUAGUGUGAAUUGCAGAAUUCCGUGGAUCAUCGAAUUUUUGAACGCAAAUUGCACUUUCUGGUAUUCCGGAGAGUAUGCCUGUUUGAGGGUCAGUAAAAUAAAAAAUCGAUUUGUUACCUUAUCGUGACAUUUCGGAAUUGAGCUACCUUAAAUUUUUUAGGUUUAAGAGGCUUAAAAUUGAUCACUUUUUGGUAUGAUUUAAGCGUGCUAAUAUUACGUUUAAUUAGUAUCGAUGUUUAUUAGGUAUGACCAUGAUCAUGGUUUCGUGCCCAUAAUUUUUUCAUGAAAUGACCUCAAAUCAGGUAGGAUUACCCGCUGAACUUAA